AUAUCUAAUAACUAGAAAUGUGUCCAUAGGACACGGGUGCCCCCACCGCGCCACUGUUAUCUCAAUCUUUUUACUAAGUCAAGGGAAAUAACUCUACAAAUAUUUGAUAAAUCCACAAGCAAAACCCCAGGUGCAAAUUUAAAAUAUGCUGAGCAACCUGCCCUUAAGGUUUAAUGACUAUGUCAAAUCCAAGUUGAAAAAUUGCAAAAAAAUUCUAAGUGAAGGGCAAUAACUCUAAAAAUACAAAAUAAAUCCAGACGAAAAUACCUGGUGCACAACUGCACAUGCUGAUCAAUAUUUCUGUAACGUUACAUGACUCUAGGUCAAAUACUUACGUGCGACACAUGUUGAAAAUUGCGAAAUUUUACUAAGUCAAGGGCAAUAACUCUGAAAAUACUAAAAAUAUCCACACGAAAAUACCCAGGUGCACAACUACAUAUGCUGAUCAACAUUCCUGUAAAGUUUCAUGACUUUAGGUCAAAUUCUUUUUGAGUUACGUGCGACACAAGUUGAAAAUUGCAAAAUUUUACUAAGUCAAGGGCAAUAACUCUGAAAAUACUAAAAAUAUCCACAUGAAAAUACCCAGGUGCACAACUACACAUGCUGAUCAACAUUCCUGUAAAGUUUCAUGACUCUAGGACAAAAAUUUUUUGAGUUACAUGCGGCACAAGUUGAAAAUUGCAAAAUUUUACUAAGUCAAGGGCAAUAACUCUGAAAAUACUAAAAAUAUCCAGACGAAAAUACCCAGGUGCACAACUACACAUGCUGAUCAACAUUCCUGUAAAGUUUCAUGACUCUAGGUCAAAUACUUUUUGAGUUACGUGCGACACAAAAGUGAACGGACGGACGGAAGGACGGACGGAAGGACGGACGGACAGACGGACGGACGGACGGAAGGACGGACGGACAAGGGUAAAUCUAAAUGCCCGCCACUAACGUGGGGGCACAAAAA
Ruditapes philippinarum (Manila clam) is the source of this 952-nucleotide long non-coding RNA. RefSeq lists it as uncharacterized. The transcript has 2 exons. The record is from RefSeq and is a predicted model, not a curated record. NCBI's taxonomy places the organism in Eukaryota, Metazoa, Mollusca, Bivalvia, Venerida, Veneridae.